This 465-nucleotide ribosomal RNA is filed under the name uncultured bacterium. Its description in RNAcentral is "partial 16S ribosomal RNA". It matches the Rfam family "Bacterial small subunit ribosomal RNA", at positions 28 to 507 of the family's 1533-position model. The record is from RNAcentral.
GACGAACGCUGGCGGCGUGCUUAACACAUGCAAGUCGAACGGAAAGGCCCCUUUGGGGGUACUCCAGUGGCGAACGGGUGAGUAACACGUGAGUAACCUGCCCUUGACUUCGGGAUAACUUCAGGAAACUGGGGCUAAUACCGGAUAGGAAUCCUUGCUGCAUGGUGGGGGUUGGAAAGCUUCGGCGGUUUUGGAUGGACUCGCGGCUUAUCAGCUUGUUGGUGGGGUAGUGGCUUACCAAGGCUUUGACGGGUAGCCGGCCUGAGAGGGCGACCGGCCACAUUGGGACCGAGAUACGGCCCAGACUCCUACGGGAGGCAGCAGUGGGGAAUAUUGCACAAUGGGCGGAAGCCUGAUGCAGCAACGCCGCGUGCGGGAUGACGGCCUUCGGGUUGUAAACCGCUUUCAGCAGGGGCGAAGCUUGUGGUGACGGUACCUGCAGAAGAAGCACCGGCUAACUACGUG